Regulatory RNA element from Corynebacterium ureicelerivorans, 109 nucleotides. It matches the Rfam family "mraW RNA". NCBI's taxonomy places the organism in Bacteria, Bacillati, Actinomycetota, Actinomycetes, Mycobacteriales, Corynebacteriaceae. The record is from Rfam.
ACAAGGAGAGUGUGUACGGACUCUGUCCGGGGCGUGAAGCGUUCUGGUGUACUUCCCCGACAUCAGAACAGCCGCCCCGGGCAGGGCUCUACGCGCUCCCCGCACUGCA